CCGCCCAUGCCGGCGAGGCGCCCACCGCAGAGAUCGAAAUUUACCGCCCCGGCGGCGAACUGGACGCAUUUGCCGCGGCUGACACCGACGUCGCAACCCGGAUGGCCGGGGGACGUGCCGCCGAGGUCGAGCCUGCGGGCUUCGUGGACACCAAGUUCGGCCGGGUCACCCUGCUCCGUUUCAGCGGGGCUGCCCUGCCCGCCAGGCAGGACUGCCUGGGCUUUGUGAGGACUUUCUCAAACCCAAGCGUCAGAAUGAGCGGAUGGUCCUGUCAGGCCGAUUCGCUGGCCGCGCAGCGGGCCUU
This 304-nucleotide unclassified non-coding RNA is filed under the name Hevea brasiliensis (rubber tree). The record is from RNAcentral. Lineage: Eukaryota; Viridiplantae; Streptophyta; Magnoliopsida; Malpighiales; Euphorbiaceae.